GACGAACGCUGGCGGCGUGCUUAACACAUGCAAGUCGAGCGGUAAGGCCCUUUCGGGGGUACACGAGCGGCGAACGGGUGAGUAACACGUGGGUGACCUGCCCUCAGUUCUGGGACUAAGCCUGGGAAACCGGGUCUAAUACUGGAUAUGACCUCAUGACGCAUGUUGUGGGGUGGAAAGCCUUGUGCGACUGAGGAUGGGCCCGCGGCCUAUCAGCUUGUUGGUGGGGUGAUGGCCUACCAAGGCGACGACGGGUAGCCGGCCUGAGAGGGCGACCGGCCACACUGGGACUGAGACACGGCCCAGACUCCUACGGGAGGCAGCAGUGGGGAAUCUUGCGCAACGGGCGAAAGCCUGACGCAGCGACGCCGCGUGAGGGAUGACGGCCUGGU
Molecule: ribosomal RNA, 392 nt
Filed under: uncultured bacterium
Lineage: Bacteria
Description: bacterial SSU rRNA
Rfam family: Bacterial small subunit ribosomal RNA
Source: RNAcentral